GACGAACGCUGGCGGCGCGCCUAACACAUGCAAGUCGAACGAGCGAGAGGGAGCUUUCUUUCUCGAUCGAGUGGCGAACGGGUGAGUAACGCGUGAGUAACCUGCCUCAAAGAGGGGGACAACAUUUGGAAACGACUGCUAAUACCGCAUAAGCCCACGGUCCCCCUUGUCGCGGAUGGAAAAGGAGCACUCCGCUUUGAGAUGUCCUCGCGUCCGAUUAUCUUGUUGGUGUGGUAAUGGCCCACCAAGGAGACGAUCGGUAGCCGGACGGAGAGGCUGAACGGCUAGAUUGGGAAUGAGACACGGCCCAGAAUGCGACGGGAGGGAGGAGUGGGGAAUAAUGCACGAGGGGGGAAACUCUGAUGAAGCGACGCCGGGGGGAGGAAGAAGGUGGUCGGAAAGUAAACUCGUGUGGUAGGGGAAGAGAAUGACGGUAACGAACAAGGAAGUGACGGCUAACUACGUG
This 466-nucleotide ribosomal RNA is filed under the name uncultured bacterium. RNAcentral's name for it is "partial 16S ribosomal RNA". It matches the Rfam family "Bacterial small subunit ribosomal RNA", at positions 28 to 507 of the family's 1533-position model. The record is from RNAcentral.